GACAGAAGCAGAGAGUGGGGGCCAGUGAGAACAUGUGAACAGAGUCAGAGAGGUUGCCUGGCUUCCAAAACCAAUCCUGCCAAACCUCUGCCAGCAGGGAGUGCUCACCCAGGCUCUCUGUGCCCCCCUCUGGCUGCAGACAUUGGGCACUCUGGUCCUGGCUGCAGGAAGGCAGGAAGGCUGGUCCUCUCAGUAGAGAUAUGAUGCAUAUGGGCUCACAUCAAACACCUGACCAAUGAAGAGGUGAAGAGCUAGUGAAAACAAACUAUUGAAGGACAGCCGGGACUGCACUGCAGUAUUUACUCAGUUCUUAUUUCCCCAGUGGUAAUAUUGGUGGUAUUUUAUAAAGCAGGUUCAGUGAAAACCUAGAGUUAGUUGACUCAGAGUUGAUGGAAACUCUGGGUUUACGGUUUCAAAGAGCCAGUUCAAUUUUUUUCUGAGUCAGUUACUACGGCAACAUACUUC
Molecule: long non-coding RNA, 465 nt
Organism: Esox lucius (northern pike)
Lineage: Eukaryota; Metazoa; Chordata; Actinopteri; Esociformes; Esocidae
Source: Ensembl